Molecule: ribosomal RNA, 638 nt
Filed under: uncultured fungus
Lineage: Eukaryota; Fungi
Description: eukaryotic LSU rRNA
Rfam family: 5.8S ribosomal RNA (bases 290-443)
Source: RNAcentral
UUUUAGAGGAAGUAAAAGUCGUAACAAGGUUUCCGUAGGUGAACCUGCGGAAGGAUCAUUAUUGAAUAAAUCUGAUGUGGCUGUUAGCUGGCUUUUCGAAGCAUGUGCUCGUCCGUCAUCUUUAUAUCUCCACCUGUGCACAUUUUGUAGUCUUGGAUACCUCUCGAGGCAACUCGGAUUUAAGGAUCGCGUUGGCUUUCCUUUCAUUUCCAAGACUAUGUUUUUAUAUACACCAAAGUAUGUUUAAAGAAUGUCAUCAAUAGGAACUUGUUUCCUAUAAAAACUAUACAACUUUCAGCAACGGAUCUCUUGGCUCUCGCAUCGAUGAAGAACGCAGCGAAAUGCGAUAAGUAAUGUGAAUUGCAGAAUUCAGUGAAUCAUCGAAUCUUUGAACGCACCUUGCGCUCCUUGGUAUUCCGAGGAGCAUGCCUGUUUGAGUGUCAUUAAAUUCUCAACCUUCCAGCUUUUAUUAGCUUGGUUAGGCUUGGAUGUGGGGGUUGCAGGCUUCAUUAUUGAGGUCAGCUCUCCUUAAAUACAUUAGCGGAACUUUUGUGGACCGUCUAUUGGUGUGAUAAUUAUCUACGCCGUGGAUGUGAAGCAGCUUUAUGAAGUUCAGCUUCUAAUCGUCCAUUGACUUG